Molecule: ribosomal RNA, 1978 nt
Filed under: Parabopyrella angulosa
Lineage: Eukaryota; Metazoa; Arthropoda; Malacostraca; Isopoda; Bopyridae
Description: SSU rRNA
Rfam family: Eukaryotic small subunit ribosomal RNA
Source: RNAcentral
CUGGUUGAUCCUGCCAGUAGUCAUAUGCUCGUCUCAAAGAUUAAGCCAUGCAUGUCUAAGUACAGGCUACCUUCCUUAGAGUCGAAACCGCGAAUGGCUCAUUAAAUCAGUCGUAAUCUACUGGAUUUCGAUCCGAUCACUCGGAUAACUGUGGUAAUUCUAGAGCUAAUACGUGCAAUUAAGCUCCGACGUUCGGGUAAAAUUUAUUUUUACCGGGACUGAAGGGCGCAGUUAUUAGAAUCGAGACAAAAAUUUCAGAAAGUACCCUCGUGUACCAAAGAGUCUGCUGUGGUUGGCGUCAGCGCUUUUCCACUCGCGUGUGACUCGUAUUUUUGCUUUCGAUGACUCCGGAAUAACGUGCCGAGCGCUUAGGCCUCGCAGCCGCUGCCAGUUCCUUCGAGUGUCUGCCUUAUCAGCUGUCGAUUGUAAGUCCAGUUCUUACAAUGGCUGUCACGGGUAACGGGGAAUCAGGGUUCGAUUCCGGAGAGGGAGCCUGAGAAACGGCUACCACAUCUAAGGAAGGCAGCAGGCGCGCAACUUACCCAAUCCCGGCUCAGGGAGGUAGUGACGAAAAAUACCGAUGCGAAACUCUUCCGAGGCCUCGCAAUCGGAAUGAGACGGAUCCAAAGACGCCAGUCUAGGAUCAAUUGGAGGGCAAGUCUGGUGCCAGCAGCCGCGGUAAUUCCAGCUCCAAUAGCGUAUAUUAAAGUUGCUGCGGUUAUAAAGCUCGUAGUUGGAAUUCGCUUUUCGAAUCCGGGCGGGCCGAGUAGAGAGUGGUGAUCCCGAGUAUCGGCUGAUAGUUGUUGGGUUGGUGUGAACGGGUUUCCGUUUCUCCCUUCUCCUAUCCUAUCGUUAAGUCUUUACGACCGGGAGAAGCGUGUCUCUCUCGGGCAAAAAUCCCGAACUUCCCGGUUUCGGAUCGCUAAAAUUGACGUUAGCUCUCGUUCGUACGUUGCUCUUGAACGGGUGACCGAACGCGUUGCUAACCCGUUCACUUUGACAAAAUCAAUGUGCUCAAAGCGGGUAUACUUUUAAAGAGGAUCGUCUUUCUUAAAAUUCGAUCCGUUCGCCCGAAUGGUGACGCAUGGAAUGAAGGAAUAGGACCUCGGUUCUACCUUAUAUGCUAUAAAUAUAAAACCAAAAUUUUUUGUCUUGGGUAUCUUUCUGUUUUUUUGUACAGGAACCCGAGGUAAUGAUUAACAGGAACUGACGGGGGCUUAGGUAUUGCGGGGCUAGAGGUGAAAUUCUUGGACCCUCGCAAGACCACCAACUGCGAAAGCAUUUGCCAAGGAUGUUUUCAUUAAUCACGAACGAAAGUCAGAGGUGCGAAGGCGAUCAGAUACCGCCCUAGUUCUGACCGUAAACUAUGCUGACCAGCAAUCCGGCAGUGUCUAACAAAUUUAAUAACGACCUGGCGGGCCACCCCCGGGAAACCUCAAGUCUUUGAGCUCCGGGGGAAGUAUGGUUGUAAAGCUGAAACUUAAAGGAAUUGACGGAAGGGCACCACCAGGAGUGGAGCCUGCGGCUUAAUUUGACUCAACACGGGAAAACUUACCAGGCCCAGACGCCGGAAGGAUUGACAGAUUAAAAGCUCUUUCUCGAUUCGGUGGGUGGUGGUGCAUGGCCGUUCUUAGUUGGUGGAGCGAUUUGUCUGGUUGAUUCCGAUAACGAACGAGACUCUAACCUACUAAAUAGAAGGUCGACGAAGAGGAAUCGACGGUUUAUUCCAGCCGUAAAAGAGAGAGAGAGAGCGAUAACAGGUCUGUGAUGCCCAUAGAUGUUCUGGGCCGCACGCGCGCUACAAUGCAGGGAUCAGCGCGCAUCCCCUCCGAGAGGAGCGGGCAACCGUGUUAAACCCCUUCUCAAUCGGGAUCGGGGAUUGGAAUUGUUCCCCGUGAACGAGGAAUUCCUAGUAAGCGCGAGUCAUUAACUCGCGUUAACUACGUCCCUGCCCUUUGUACACACCGCCCGUCGCUAC